UUAUAAGGAAUAAACAUAAAUAUUGCGAAAAUUACCGAUAAGAGUCCGAAAUUCGUUUUAAAGUUUAUAGAAAUUUUGGGGGAAUUUAUGUUGACUUUGGCAACAUUGAAAGUUGUACAGUACUCGUCCCACCAUUUUAAAUUGUUGGCGGAAGGUCACCGAACAGUUGCGAGUUCCCCAGGAAGGUUCCUUAAAUUACACAGGUACAGUGAACUCGCCUCCGUCAACCACACCGGACGAGACAAAAAUUUUCAUCGGAAUUGACGAAAACCCCGGAUAAGACUGUUUAAUACCAGGACAAGACUAUUUCUCGGCUUAGACAAGACUACGGUCUAGACAAAUACCAGAAUGGACGACAUUCUUUUAGCAAGGCUUAGGCUCAUUAAUGACAAACUCACAACAGACUUAGAAGUAAUUCCGGUUACUGUUAAUUUAGAAAAUUUAGUGCAAGCUCAGAUUACCUACGGUAAAUUAGAAGCAUCACUGAAAAGACUUA
This is a long non-coding RNA of Cydia splendana, 496 nucleotides long. RefSeq lists it as uncharacterized. The record is from RefSeq and is a predicted model, not a curated record. Lineage: Eukaryota; Metazoa; Arthropoda; Insecta; Lepidoptera; Tortricidae. The transcript has 3 exons.